Molecule: transfer RNA, 69 nt
Filed under: Marmota monax (woodchuck)
Lineage: Eukaryota; Metazoa; Chordata; Mammalia; Rodentia; Sciuridae
Description: tRNA.Ala
Source: RNAcentral
GGUUUGUGGCUCAGUGGUAUAGCGCUUGCCUAGCAUGCAUAAGGCACUUGGCUUCAAUCCCCAGCACCA